UCGGGUAGUGAAGGCGAUGUCAGGAUGAUGUCACUUCAUGAAGGAGUGGAACACACCGGGAUGGUGUUACAAGGAAGGCUUCGGGAAGAAGCAAGGAAGACUCUGGAUGAGUGAUGGACACCUCCAGGAUGGAGAAUGAGAGCCGAAUCAGGAUGAUCGGUGGGUCUGGAAGGCCAAGGGAUUUCGCGUCAGGAUGAUGCAGGACACCAGCAGGAUGUUGGUUGCAGGAUGCGUGUACGAGGGAUUGUAGGUCAGGAGACCGUAGGACAAAGUUGUCAAGGAUGAGCAGGGAGCACUAAAAGUAGCAGGAUUAGCUGCGAAACGAACCGGGAGCACUGUGUAUACAGUGCUCCCUUUUUUUA
Molecule: non-coding RNA, 362 nt
Filed under: uncultured Buttiauxella sp.
Lineage: Bacteria; Pseudomonadati; Pseudomonadota; Gammaproteobacteria; Enterobacterales; Enterobacteriaceae
Source: RNAcentral